RNAcentral lists this ribosomal RNA (424 nucleotides) under uncultured bacterium. Its description in RNAcentral is "partial 16S ribosomal RNA". It matches the Rfam family "Bacterial small subunit ribosomal RNA", at positions 360 to 776 of the family's 1533-position model. The record is from RNAcentral.
AACUUUGGACAAUGUGCGCAAGCCUGAUCCAGCCAUGCCGCGCGAUUGAAUAAGGCAUCCGGGUUGUAAAGCACUUCUAGUUGGGAGGAAGGUACGUAAGUUAAUACCUUGCUGUAUUGACGGUACCGACAGAUUAAGCACCGGCUAACUUCGUGCCAUCAGCCGCGGUAACACGAAUGGUGCAAGCGUUAAUCGGAAUUACUGGGCGUAAAGCGCGCGUAGGUGGUUCGUUAAGUUGGAUGUGAAAGGCCCGGGCUCAACCUGGGAACUGCAUCCAAAACUGGCGAGCUAGAGUACGGUAGAGGGUGGUGGAAUUACCUGUGUAGCGGUGAAAUGCGUAGAUAUAGGAAGGAACACCAGUGGCGAAGGCGACCACCUGGACUGAUACUGACACUGAGGUGCGAAAGCGUGGGGAGCAAACAGG